GACGAACGCUGGCGGCGUGCCUAACACAUGCAAGUUGAGCGACGAACCAGGGCUUGCCCUGGGGCAAAGCAGCGAACGGGUGAGUAACACGUGGGUAACCUACCCCGAUAACCGGGACAACCCGAGUAAACUCGGGCUAAUACCGGAUGUGCUCACUGAACUUCGGUUCAGUGCGUAAAGGAAGCUUCGGCCUCCGUAUCGGGAGGGGCCCGCGGCCCAUUAGCUAGUUGGUGAGGUAACGGCUCACCAAGGCCGCGAUGGGUAGCUGGUCUGAGAGGACGAUCAGCCACACUGGGACUGAGACACGGCCCAGACUCCUACGGGAGGCAGCAGUGGGGAAUCUUGCGCAAUGCGCGAAAGCGUGACGCAGCAACGCCGCGUGGGGGAAGAAGGCCUUCGGGUUGUAAACCCCUUUCAGGAGGGACGAAGGUUCGGCGGUGAAUAGCCGUCCGGACUGACGGUACCUCCACAAGAAGCCCCGGCUAACUACGUGCCAGCCGCCGCAGUAA
This 509-nucleotide ribosomal RNA is filed under the name uncultured bacterium. RNAcentral's name for it is "partial 16S ribosomal RNA". It matches the Rfam family "Bacterial small subunit ribosomal RNA", at positions 28 to 523 of the family's 1533-position model. The record is from RNAcentral.